Molecule: long non-coding RNA, 4624 nt
Organism: Homo sapiens (human)
Lineage: Eukaryota; Metazoa; Chordata; Mammalia; Primates; Hominidae
Exons: 2
Source: RefSeq, a predicted model, not a curated record
GGUUACACUGUGGGAUUCUCUCUAUGUAACAUUUUUGGUAUGGUUAAAUUUUAGAAAUAGAGAACAAAUUCAUGAUGGCAAGGAUUAGAAAAGGAGAGGCAGGGAAGGCACAGGCAGGGUGGAAGUGGAUGUGGCCUUUUAUAAAAUGGUUACAGGGGAGAUACCUGUGGAGAUGGAACUAUUUUCCUGACUGCGGUGGUGUGUGUGGGAAGUUACACAUGUGAUAAAAUUAUACAGAACAAAUAAUCACACACAUAAAUGAGUGCAAGUAAAACUGAAUAAGGUAAGUGGAUUGUGUCAAUAUCAAUAUCCUAGUUGUGACAUUAGUAUAUUGGCACGUGAAGGGAGCUCAGAGCCAGUCCUAUAUUUGCCUUUGCAGGCACGGGGGGAAUUGCUGUAAACAAACCUCGUCUUAACUGGUUUUGGCCCCAUCUCCUUAUCAAACAACCACGCAGAUCUGCUAACAGCCAAUUUGCCAAGUCGGACCCUGGUUCUCUCCAGCAGUCCUGGCUCACCUUCUGGCAAAUUCAUCAAAAUACAGUGUGUGGGAUGAAAAAGUGUUCUCUAUUAACCAAUUCAUUGGUGAUUAAUCCCCCAACACAAAUAAGAGUUGGCUUUGACUGACCCCUUCGUUAACACAGAAGUGACUGUGAAGUUUGGUGAUGUACCCCAAUUCUUCCAACAGAAAAGUGCUCCUGAAGUCCAGCCAUUGUCUGUGGCAGAAGACUGAAAACAGUGUGACAAAUCUUUCCAUGAAGCUGCACUACUGAAAUCUUAUACCAGCAGCCCAGAGCUUCUCCCAAGCCUGUUCAUAUCCUGCAUAUUGGCCAAAUUCUACCCUCAGAUAUGCACACAUGGCCUCCUGAUUUCCAUUUAAAGGCUUUUGCAAACCUCGUUCCUACUUGAGGGUUAGGGAAGCUCUGCCAGUAUCUGAGGAUGAUGCCGCCAGUUGAAAUUUUCUAGACGCGACGGCUUAAAUGGCUUGUGACUGAACUGGAAACACAUCUACAUUUCAUUUUAAUUAUUGGUGAUGACAACACAAACUCUGCCAUCAUUUUGUAUUUUCCCUCUCUACCGUCUAUUUCAAAAUGACUUUAUCAUGCUUUAUCAUCGGCUGACUUCUACUUUAAUGAACCUUCAGAACCACAAAUCCUUAAGAUCCCAUUCCCUGUCAUAGAAAGAGGAAAGCCCACCCGCACAGCUAAAUGGAGAAAGGGACCAGCCUGCCGCCAGACACAGCAGAGGAGCUGUUCCCAUUCCUUUAAAAAUAGGAGAGGAAACACAUCCCACCGUCUGGGAUAGGAAACCUGUCCCUUCAGCCCCCAAGACCAGAGCCUUUCUGGAAACCUAGGAUGGAAGCACAUUCCUGGCUGGUACUCAAUGACAGAAAGCGAUGCUCUUUCUGCCACCUGCGGGGCAGUCGCUUCCCCCUGAAAAAGUCACUGUCCGAACACUUUGCAGCAGGGCAAGAGCCUGCCAGGCACUGGUGGGGCCUCUGGAACUUUCAACCUACUGCACAGAAACUCACACAUGCCUUUAGCACCAUUCACAGAAACAGCAUCUUGUUUCCAGUUUGGCUGUAGAUAAUGAAAUUAGCCCCCAAAUUACCAUAAAGUGGAAAAAGUAAACACGAAAGCAGGAGCUAGGUUUCCAGGCCUCUCCCUCCCCCCAUACGGAACAGGACCCUCUGGCUUCUUCGCUGUUUAAAUUCAAAGCAAGACUGCUGUUUUUCUAAGUCGCUAUGCUGACCCCAAGCAGAUAAAGAACACUAAAUGACACAUUCAGGAGAGCAGCUCUGUUCUCGCAGAGCCGCUGUGUUUACAUCAGGAAAUCCUGCUCGGGUGGGGACAGGGGGUCGGCCGCGGAGGCGGCCCGGGCGCCGGCCUCCCUAGCGCUCACCGCCGCGCUCCGCUGGCUGGGCCGUGCUGGCCCCUGGCGCUAGGCAGCUGACUCCAUCCAGAUGUGCCGCGGCUCCAGAGUGGCUGCCGCGCGCAGUAAAUGGGCAUCGGAGGCUCGUCAAUCCGGGCCAGAGCAAUUGCGGUCUCGGGGCCGCCCCACUGGCACUCGGAAAGGGUCUCGCUCUGUCACCCAGGCAGAAGAGCAGUGGUACGAUCUUGGUUCAUUACAGCCUUGACCUCCUGAGCUCAAGUGAUCCUUCCACCUCAGCCUCCGGAGUAGCUGGGACCGCAGGAAUGCAAUACCAUGUCUGGCUAAUUUUUGUACUUUUGGUAGAGGCGGGGUCUUGCUACCUUACCAGGGCUGGUCUCAAACUCCCGGGCUCAAGCGAUCCUCCUUGCCUUGGCCUCCCAAAGUACUGAGAUUACAGGCAUGAGCCGCUGCACAGAGCCCCACUAACUAUUUUUUGAAUAAAUCUGAGUUCCUGAAAGAUUGAAUACAAUCUGUUUAGAGGAAGAAGCUGUAAAACUGUAAUAAGAUGAAAGAAGAAGAAAGGAAGAAAAGGAGGAGCGAAAGGAGGAGGGGAAGAAACUGAUUCAUGCAGGUUAAAUAAUAUCAUAAUUAUUCCACUGUAAUUUUUUUGCACUUUAAAGUACUCACCUGUCUAUUCUGUACUGGAGUUCUGACCUUGUUUCUGGUCUACCACACCACUGCAUUUUCAAACCAAGAAUUCACUGAGAGCGAAUAGGAAGGCUCGUGCACCAGAGAGACUAUUCUCAUUUAUUUCUUAAUUAUUUAUCAACAAAACUUCAUUGGCACACUUAUUGAGAGAGUUUCAAAUCAGCGUGCUGGGCGCUGGGAAGCGCACUGGGUGCUGAGACACGGGAAGCCACAGCUUCUCUGGAGAAGCUCGCAUUCUGAAAGGAAGCGUUGGGAGAGGACAUGGAUGAAAACAUACAAGACAAAACAGUGAGCAUUGUGAUAAGAGAUAAUACAGUGUCACAGCAGCAAGAAGAAGGAAUUCACGACUCUCAAGAGGUCGAGAUCAUCCUUGAACCACCACUGACCUCAAGGCAAGGCACAAGGCGAAGAGCCCCCGAGUGGCACAGGGAGAUUGAGGGUCUCAUCCCCACUCAUAGGAAUUCAGCCCAUCAGUGGUCUAGACUGAGACAAGAAAUUAAGUAAAUUUGACUCCUAUGCCACUUCUAUAUUUAUCCAUUCAUUCGUGGGAACACUGAGAUUCCACUCCCUGUGCCUGACAGUUUGAACUAACAUUCUUACAUGUUGGUAUCACUCAAGAAUCACACUGGGAGAAGGUGGGUUUAGGUUUCUCUAGCUAGAAAAAGACUCACCACAAGGAAUCGAAUGUAAUCCUAGUUCUAAUCCAAUCUAGACCAAAAGGGUCCAGUUACUGUCCACAGAGGGCUGCGUCCAGGAAGGCCAUACUGGUGUGCUCCCAGCCACAGCCCCAGCAUGGCCGACACACAGGAAUGAAAGGUCAUGCCAGCUCCUGCUCCUUCCUUAUCCUAAGAGCCCGAGGCCCACACCUUCCCUUAAACAGACCCAGGGCACAGCCCUUCCUUAAGUCAUCCCAUAACAGUGCUGGACUACCAAAGUCCAAGCCACCACACAGGGAUGACAUAAGUGAGGUUUCCAUCUGCCAGGAGGCCAGAGGAAUGCAAGUGUCACGUCAUGGGGAAGGAAGGCCCAGUAGUAACAGUCACCUCCGAGGGGCCUUCCUUGUGGAUUGAGGGUGUCUUCUCCAUGCAGUUAGCUUAAUAACAAUAAACAGGUGGACUAGGUUCAUGAUUGAUAAAUUCCUUCUCUACCCAACCCUCCCCCUGCCCUAGACAAUGUUGGUGUCUGUACAAUUAGAAGGAUCUAUUCUCUUUUUAAUGCGGAAGCAAAGCAGAGUGAUAGGAGCUUAGAGAAAUCGCAGCACAGAUGUCAAGGCCGUAGGCCCAAGGGCUGUUAAAAAAAGAAAACUCUGUAAAUGGAAGUGAGGCUUAGUAAGGCACAGCCCUUAAGUCUUGGCUCACAAUGCAAAGGAAAAAAAGAAAAAAGAAAAAAGACUGGUGGGUGGGGGAGUUUCCUGAAGCCAUGAGUAAAAUCUGGCAGAAAGCAUUCUAUACAGCCUUUUUUGGUUUCAAUCCGCAUGACAUCACAAUCUGUGAAUUUUGCUGUGAUUGAAUUUGAAUGAACUUGUAGAUUCAAAACAAAACCCAUUUGAAACAAGCUCCACAAAGCAACUCUAGCUUCCCUGCAGCAGUUAAGUGCAUUUCCUAACUGCCUUCUUCUUUUCUGGAUGGCAAGGCCCGCCUGGGAUAACACGCCAAGUCCAAACCACACAGACACAUGCAUGCACACGCAUGCAGACACAUACAAGCACACACAGACAUAUGUGCACACACACAUGCAGACAUACAUGUGCACAUACACUCAUUCACAGAAACACACACACACACACACACACACAGUGGGAGCAGCAGGUCCAAGAGAAGUGGCAGGAGCACUGGACUGGACUGUCGAUUCUACCUGGGAGAACCUGCCCAUCCUUUUGUUCUGCUUCCCCUUUUUAUUCCUAUUAUCUUAGUUCUGCCCAGUAAAGGCAAGAAGGAAGACCUAGACCAGCCCUGCAAACACAUUGUGAGCUUAGAGAAACCAGGGCAGAAGAAAAGAAAACCACACAACAGUACUGGUGUGACGAUUAAAGUAUUCCACUAUUCCA